Molecule: long non-coding RNA, 1361 nt
Organism: Agelaius phoeniceus (red-winged blackbird)
Lineage: Eukaryota; Metazoa; Chordata; Aves; Passeriformes; Icteridae
Source: RefSeq, a predicted model, not a curated record
UCCAGGACUUUUUCCCCCAAAGUCUGGCUCUUCCUGUCCGUUUUUCCAUGGAAAAUGGCAAAAUUCCCAACAUUCUGCUCUCCCAGCAUUCCUGCUUUCCUCAGCCAGGGCUGUUUCCAUGGUUGGAACAUUCCUCUGGAUGGGAGCCACCCUGGAUGAGGCGAGUGGAGAUUUUCGGGAAGCUGGGAAUUGCUUCCCAAAGAUCCAACGGCUCCAAUACCUCCUUGGACAACAAAAAUAAACCCGGAUUUGAAAAAUUCCCACAAUUCCAGAGCUUCCCAAUGGGAAUUUCAGCCCCUUUCAGCACAGCCUCGCCCCAGAGCCAAACCCAUGAUCCGGUGGGAGAAGGAUAAAGGGGAAUAACCCGGAAUGUUGGGAGCAGGAUUCGUUUUCCGAAGGCAAAGCUUCCUUGGCAGCCUCCAGAUUCCAGAGGGAAUUCCCAGGAGUGGAAUUCCAGGCCAUCAGGAGGCUCCCAGGGCAUCAGAGCCGACAGGAAUCCUGGAAAUCGUGGGAUGUGAGCCCUGCCAUGUCCGGAUCGCUCCCAUUUCUCCCAGCUUUUAAUUCCCCGCGAAUCCAGCGGCUGGCGGGAGCUCCCUUGGAAUGCCCUGGGGGAUUCCCAGCCUUGGGAAGGGAGGGAACGACUGGGGAAUGCGGCUCCUGCCUCAUCCAAAUGAUUAUUCCCAGUUUUUUCCUGUAAAUACGGAUUUUCCCGCGUUCCCUUCCAAAGCUGGAUCCCUUCACUCCCCAGAAACACCAAUCCUUGUUUUCCAACGGAGCUGGCACCCUCCUGUCCUUCCCAGAUUCCCAAGGGAUCAAUCCAGCCUGGAAAACCAGGCCUGAGCCUCAUUCCAUGCAUCCCUUGGGAACAACCGGAAUCCAGGGCAGCACAUUCCAGAGCAGCCAGGAAAAUUCCUUGGGAAUUUACCUGCAGCCAACAGUUUCCCAGAUUUUUCCUGCAGCCAACAUUCCAAAGAAUUCCUGGAACGUGCCACCACCACCACCGCAUGGCGUUGGCAAAUUCCAUGAGCGGCUCCCAGGUCCAGGCACUCCACAUCCCAUGGGAUCAUCUUUUCCAAAAGAUGGGAAGGAGCUGAGGAGAUCCUGGAUUUCAAUCCUGGGAAAUACUUGGAAGCUCCAAAAGGAUGGAAAAGAGGGGAGGAAGAGGAGGAAUUUCCAUUUUUGGGUGGAAAACAGCCCGGAAUUUCCAACUUCGGAGCUCCACCGGAGGACAGGGCCUGCCUUGGAUGGGUUUCAGGAGGAAUUUCUCCAUCCUGGGAAUGUUCGGCUGUUGGGAAGCUCUGGAGUCGUUAUCUCCACACAAUUUAAUUAAAGUCUGGCGUUAAUGACACAAUGGCCACUAA